CAAUUUAAACAACGAAGAGUUUGAUCCUGGCUCAGGAUGAACGCUAGCGACAGGCUUAACACAUGCAAGUCGAGGGGCAGCACGGUGUAGCAAUACAUUGGUGGCGACCGGCGCACGGGUGAGUAACGCGUAUGCAACCUACCUAUCAGAGGGGAAUAACCCGGCGAAAGUCGGACUAAUACCGCAUAAAACAGGGGUUCCACAUGGAAAUAUUUGUUAAAGAAUUAUCGCUGAUAGAUGGGCAUGCGUUCCAUUAGAUAGUUGGUGAGGUAACGGCUCACCAAGUCCACGAUGGAUAGGGGUUCUGAGAGGAAGGUCCCCCACACUGGUACUGAGACACGGACCAGACUCCUACGGGAGGCAGCAGUGAGGAAUAUUGGUCAAUGGGCGAGAGCCUGAACCAGCCAAGUCGCGUGAAGGAUGAAGGAUCUAUGGUUUGUAAACUUCUUUUAUAUGGGAAUAAAGUGAGGAACGUGUUCCUUUUUGUAUGUACCAUAUGAAUAAGCAUCGGCUAACUCCGUGCCAGCAGCCGCGGUAAUACGGAGGAUGCGAGCGUUAUCCGGAUUUAUUGGGUUUAAAGGGUGCGUAGGUGGUUAAUUAAGUCAGCGGUGAAAGUUUGUGGCUCAACCAUAAAAUUGCCGUUGAAACUGGUUGACUUGAGUAUAUUUGAGGUAGGCGGAAUGCGUGGUGUAGCGGUGAAAUGCAUAGAUAUCACGCAGAACUCCGAUUGCGAAGGCAGCUUACUAAACUAUAACUGACACUGAAGCACGAAAGCGUGGGGAUCAAACAGGAUUAGAUACCCUGGUAGUCCACGCAGUAAACGAUGAUUACUAGCUGUUUGCGAUACACAGUAAGCGGCACAGCGAAAGCGUUAAGUAAUCCACCUGGGGAGUACGCCGGCAACGGUGAAACUCAAAGGAAUUGACGGGGGCCCGCACAAGCGGAGGAACAUGUG
This 955-nucleotide ribosomal RNA is filed under the name Parabacteroides distasonis. RNAcentral's name for it is "bacterial SSU rRNA". It matches the Rfam family "Bacterial small subunit ribosomal RNA", at positions 1 to 943 of the family's 1533-position model. Lineage: Bacteria; Pseudomonadati; Bacteroidota; Bacteroidia; Bacteroidales; Tannerellaceae. The record is from RNAcentral.